GAUCCUGGCUCAGGACGAACGCUGGCGGCGUGCCUAAUACAUGCAAGUAGAACGCUGAAGGAGGAGCUUGCUUCUCCGGAUGAGUUGCGAACGGGUGAGUAACGCGUAGGUAACCUGCCUGGUAGCGGGGGAUAACUAUUGGAAACGAUAGCUAAUACCGCAUAAAAUUGAUUAUUGCAUGAUAGUCAAUUAAAAGGUGCAAAUGCAUCACUACCAGAUGGACCUGCGUUGUAUUAG
Molecule: ribosomal RNA, 237 nt
Filed under: uncultured bacterium
Lineage: Bacteria
Description: partial 16S ribosomal RNA
Rfam family: Bacterial small subunit ribosomal RNA
Source: RNAcentral